Molecule: ribosomal RNA, 389 nt
Filed under: uncultured bacterium
Lineage: Bacteria
Description: bacterial SSU rRNA
Rfam family: Bacterial small subunit ribosomal RNA
Source: RNAcentral
GAAGAAGCACCGGCUAACUCCGUGCCAGCAGCCGCGGUAAUACGGAGGGUGCGAGCGUUAAUCGGAAUUACUGGGCGUAAAGGGUGCGUAGGUGGUUUAUUAAGUUAUCUGUGAAAUCCCCGGGCUUAACCUGGGCAAGUCAGAUAAAACUGGUAGACUCGAGUAUGGGAGAGGGUAGUGGAAUUUCCGGUGUAGCGGUGAAAUGCGUAGAGAUCGGAAGGAACACCAGUGGCGAAGGCGGCUACCUGGCCUAAUACUGACACUGAGGCACGAAAGCGUGGGGAGCAAACAGGAUUAGAUACCCUGGUAGUCCACGCUGUAAACGAUGUCAACUAGUUGUUGGUCAUAUGAAUGUGGUCAGUGACGAAGCAAACGCGAUUAAGUUGACA